Molecule: long non-coding RNA, 1999 nt
Filed under: Homo sapiens (human)
Lineage: Eukaryota; Metazoa; Chordata; Mammalia; Primates; Hominidae
Description: non-protein coding lnc-SLITRK5-18:1
Source: RNAcentral
GCCUCCCAGGUUCAAGCGAUUCGCCUGCCUCAACAUCCCGAGUAGCUGGGAUUACAGGUAUGUGCCACCACGCCUGGCUAAUUUGUUUUGUAUUUUUAGUAGAGACGGGGUUUCUCCAUGUUGGUCAGGCUGGUCUUGAACUCCUGACCUCAGGUGAUCCGCCGCCCACCUCAGCCUCCCAAAGUGCUGGGAUUACAAGCGUGAGCCACCGCGCCCGGCCUAAACUAUUUUUUUUUUUUAAUGUAUGGGAUUCAAUAAUGAGCAUGAAGAUAAAUGGCUGCAGCAUAUUGUGAGAGUAAAGGUUUGCACAUUGAAAUCUGUUUCCAAUAAUUUUAUUCACUUUCAGUAACUGGGAAGGGAAAAGGGAGAGUUGUCUUACUCUGGUCUUGAUUUACAUAAUCUGGGUGUCAAAUGAAAAUUGCCCAAGGAUUCUGCCCUGAAUGAGAAAUAGGAACCUAAACAUCUAUAAAAAUACAAAAAAAAUUAGCCGGGCAUGGUGGCGGGCGCCUGUAGUCCCAGCUACUCCGGAGGCUGAGGCAGGAGAAUGGCAUGAAGGCGGGAGGCAGAGGUUGCAGUGAGCGGAGACCGCGCCGCUGCACUCCAGCCCGGGCGACUUUUUUUAGCUUGUAUAAUUUAUUAAGUUGCCUUAAUACAUAGCACAUUAUCCUACUGGCAUAAAAUUUUUUUUAGCAGCUUCUAAAAGUCCCUGUUCGUCAUUAAAGAGUUUAUGCUCUAGGUGACUAUGGCUUAAUAUGUACAUUAAUACAGUUACUUAGAAUGAAAUCAUGGAUUAUACCAGCACAAUGGCUACACUGACAGAUACAUUCUGUUUAUAUUCUACCUACUCUACCUCAUCUGUUUACGUGGCAUGAUGCCCAUUCAUAAGUUAAUCAAACCUUUUCUGAGAGAGGCUGCCAAAAAGACAUUGUUUUGGAAGGGCAACCAGCAAAUGUUGGAAAAGCAAAGGCAAAUAAAAAAGCUAAUUUAAAUUAAUAUGUUGAAUAGUAACAAAACGCCUGAACACUAUAUGAGAAUUUUUGACAAAGAGAAAUUUUGACAAGAAAACUGUUGUGUAGAUUACAUAAUUUAUUUAAGAAUAUUUAUUUUAAAAUUGAGAUAAUUAGUAUAUUAUUACAAAUCAAUCUUUGAAUAAAUCUUGUAUCAAGUAGGAAACUAAAAAAUAAUGUCAUCCAAAUGAAACAUUUAAAUACUUCUAAUCAAUUUUCUCUCCCCUGUGAUAUAAAAAGGCUUAAUCAAGAAGAAAAAAGAAAAAGAAAAAAUUGGCAAGAUAUUCCUUUUUUUUUCAUUUCGGCGGAGAAAAUUUUCUAUGUCUUUGUGAGAGCUUGUCUCUUCCCAUAGGAAAACAUAUGACUAAGUUGUGUUUUUCUUAUCUAAAAAAGGGAUUACAUCCUAAAAUUUUAUAUUCUAAAGGGAGAAAUGAUUUUCAUUUUUUCUCCUCUGUUACAUUUUUUCACCAUAGUACUGUAACAGUCCUUUCCCUAAUUCUAAUGUCUGAUAUCUAAAUCUAGUAUUUUUCUUUUUUUUUUUUUUUUUUUUUUUUUUUUUUUUUUUUUUGAGACGGAGUCUCGCUCUGUCGCCCAGGCUGGAGUGCAGUGGCGGGAUCUCGGCUCACUGCAAGCUCCGCCUCCCGGGUUCACGCCAUUCUCCUGCCUCAGCCUCCCAAGUAGCUGGGACUACAGGCGCCCGCCACUACGCCCGGCUAAUUUUUUGUAUUUUUAGUAGAGACGGGGUUUCACCGUUUUAGCCGGGAUGGUCUCGAUCUCCUGACCUCGUGAUCCGCCCGCCUCGGCCUCCCAAAGUGCUGGGAUUACAGGCGUGAGCCACCGCGCCCGGCCUAAAUCUAGUAUUUUUCUGAGAGUAUCAUUUACCAAUUCUACUCUGUACUGAAUGAAUGAGAGUCUGACUCUUGAGCUAAAAGAUGUCUAAUGGCUACUAAUGCUGAAGAAAUUUUAUUUUAUUUUAAAUACAGUAAUAAUUU